AUUGAACGCUGGCGGCAGGCCUAACACAUGCAAGUCGAGCGGAGUGGCGGACGGGUGAGUAAUGUCUGGGAAACUGCCCGAUGGAGGGGGAUAACUACUGGAAACGGGCGCUAAUACCGCAUACUAUCAGAUGAGCCUAGGUCGGAUUAGCUAGUUGGUGGGGUAAAGGCCUACCAAGGCGACGAUCCGUAACUGGUCUGAGAGGAUGAUCAGUCACACUGGAACUGAGACACGGUCCAGACUCCUACGGGAGGCAGCAGUGGGGAAUAUUGGACAAUGGGCGAAAGCCUGAUCCAGCCAUGCCGCGUGGGUGAAGAAGGCCUUCGGGUUGUAAAGCCCUUUUGUUGGGAAAGCGGUACCCAAAGAAUAAGCACCGGCUAACUUCGUGCCAGCAGCCGCGGUAAUUC
RNAcentral lists this ribosomal RNA (407 nucleotides) under uncultured bacterium. RNAcentral describes it as "partial 16S ribosomal RNA". It matches the Rfam family "Bacterial small subunit ribosomal RNA", at positions 30 to 526 of the family's 1533-position model. The record is from RNAcentral.